ACGGUUUAGGGUCUGCAAAAGAAUUACAAAUUUCCUCAAACAUUAAGACUAGAGUUCAUAUCAGAAGAAAUUUUGAGUUACUACAUCCGUUUCAAAAUGAUUUUUACAAUAAUGUUUUUUGUACUUUGCUUUAUACUAUUUUGGACAUGAAAAUUUGCUAUUUUACCCCUAACAUUUACAACUUUACAAUCACUUUGUUUUACUUCAUUCCAUUUUCUCUUACACCACACACUUCUUUACCCAUCUACCAUAUUUUUCUACCAUACUUUAUCAUAUCCACCUACAUUUUUACACACUUUUCUUACUAUGUCUUAAUAUUUGUGUAAAUAGUAACCGUAAAGAUCAUUUUAAAACAGAUGUAGUAAUUUACUAAAAGGCAUGAUAUAUGUUGUACCUCUGGAUAAUUGUCACCGUCAACUUUCUGAAGGCGGCCAAUCAACUCCCUUGCAGCUUUGUUGAAUUGUUUCAGUCCCUAUGAUAAUGAUUCAAAGCUGAACUAAAUCACACAAGUUCUUCAUGAUUUUAAGAAUAUAACUAAACCCAGGGAUGUUUAUCGGUCUAAAUUUGGAUCCGAUUGAAGAUCGAAAAUUUUGAUAAUUAAAGAUCCGAGAUCGAACUGGUUAUGCUUGGACCGGAUCCUAAUCAGACAAGGGAAUCGAUCCAAAAUCCGGACCAGAUCAGUUUGGACCGGUUGUAGACCUAUAUAUAUAUUUUUUAUUUUAUUUUUUCUACAACUAAUCGGUUGAGGCUUGUUUUUGGAAACUAAAAUAAAAUCUCGCAAUACAAUAAAAAUUAACUUUUUAAAUAGUUUAUAUUAUACUUUUUUAAGGAAAAUCGGUCCGAUCCAAAAACCUGGUUUAAAAGACUUUUGGACCAGACCGGACCGAAGACCCGAAAUUUAUAUUUCUCGACCCGGUGACCGGACCGAUUGUCUCCGUUCCGGUCCAUUUCUCCGGUCCGAACCGGUUUUUGCACACCCCUUGUCUGAACUAAGGUGACAGUCUGAAAUUUAAACCUAAGUGCAAAAUAAAAUAAAAUCAACUACAUACCACUCCAGAAACAUCUAAUAUGGUUGUACUUUGAUCAAUAUGCUUCUUAGCAGUAAUUGAACAUGCUGGAAACUUAACAGCAAAAGUCCUCUCAAACUCCAUAACAUGAUAUUUGAUAUAUCUGUCUAUGGUUGUGGCUUGCAUCAGUUUUGUAGCAUCUACUUUGCCAAGAAGCUCUAUGUAAACAGGUCGACCAUCCUUAUCUAUUCCAUGAUGUCCUUGAGGAUAAUGCUCCAAAACUUCAUUGAUUUCUUUGAAAUCAAAUUCCUUUAAAAGCCAACAAUAAACAAAUUAAGGACUAAUUAUGUUUUAACAAAUGGUUUCGUAAUGGUGUCAGAAACGAAAUACUUCUUCCGUUUCAAAAAAAUUGCAACACUUUUAAUUUUGCCACUAUUAUAUAUUGAUUUUGACCAUAUAUUUUUACUAGUUUGUUAAAAGAAAAUAUUUUCAAGUAAAAUGUCGUUAACUUGAUUUAAUUAUAUACUACCUUCAUUUUAUUAUUUGCACAAAUACUCCCUCCGUAUUUAUUUAAGAGAUACACUUGGCCGUGCACGCGUAUUAAGAAAAAGAAUUGAAUGAAAUAAAGUAAUAAAACAAGUGGGGUUAAAUAGAUAUUUUAAUAAGAAAAACUAGUGGGGACCAUGUCAUCUUAGGGAGUGGGGGGUGGGGAUGGGGUGUAGAUAUAUUAUUUAAUUAGAUGGUGGGGUUGAUAAGUUACUAAAAAUGGCAAGUGUAUCUCUUAAAUAAAUACGGCCGGAAAAGGCAAGUGUAUCUCUUAAAUAAAUACAGAGGGAGUAUUAGACAAAAGUAGAAAAGUUGGUUGAAUAUAAUAAAAUAUGGAUAAAGUAAAAGAAAAUGUGUAGAAAGGCGGGUGGGUGGGUAUAAAAAAAAAUUAAGUAUGAGAAAGUGAGUGAAGAAUUGUAAAUAUUGUGAGGUAAGAAGGGUAAGGUAGUAAAUUUUCAUGUCAUAGAAUAAAACAAAGUGUAAAAAAAACAUUAUAAAACGGGAUUAAAACGGAAAGUGUAAAGAUCAUUUUGAAACAGAGGGAGUACUUUCAUAACAUUAAUUUUAAGAAUUUUUAGAAAGAGAUAAUUAUGGUCAAAGUUAUAUCUGGGUAAACGUGAUAGUUAAAGUGUAGCAUUUUUUUUUUGAAACAGAGGAAGUAUGUUACAUUUUUCACCAGUCAAUAAAAUUAUAUGUAUGCACACCUCCAUGAUAGUGUCAGCACCAAAUUCCAUCCUCCAGUGCAGCAUAUCCCCCCACAUUUGUUUUGCUUUCUCAAGAUCGAAUUUUCGUGCCCUUAAAAAUCUGUGUAACAAUUUAACAUCAUGCUCAUAAUUAAGGUGGUUCAACUGAGUUUAAAGUUGUUAAUUAUAUCCAAAUUCAUAUUAGGAUUUGUACUUAACUACUUAUACUAGCACCAAGGGUUAAACAUGCGCUGCUAGGCAGAAAGAAGCACAUACAAACGCAAUAGUACAUCCUGCUUUAAAAUGAUAUUUAGCUCAAAAAAACGGUAUUAUAAGGUUCUUAACAUACUACAUUAUGAAGUGAAAGGAAAUUAUUUACAGUACUCAAGCAGCUAAUCAAGGUACCGUACUAAACCAUCACCUAUCACAUGUUAGACAGCCAACUAUAUAUGCAGGUGUACGCUUGAGCCAGAGUGGUUAUGAAAUGAUACUUUGUAAUUAAGGUAUUAAGGUAUUCUAAUGACUUUAAAGUUGUUAUUUACAUCCAAGUUCAUAUCAGGAUUUGUACUUAGCUACUUAUACUAGCACCACUGCACCAAGGGUAAACAUGCCCCGCUACGCAGAAAGAAGCACAUAUUGCAAUAGUACUUUGUAAUAUAAGAAGAAGGUCCCUAAUAAACCAGCACCUAUAACAGGAUUUGUACUUGGCUACUCACCAUUGCACCAAGGGUAAACAUGCCAUGCUACGCAGAAAGAAGCACAAAUUGCAAUAGUACUUCAAAAUAUAAGAGGAAGAUCCCUACUAAACCUGCAUCUAUCACAGGUUAACCAGCUCAACUAUACAGCCAUACAGGUCUACGCUUGAGUCAAGGUGGUUAUGAAAUGAUACUUUGUAACAUCCAAUGCCAUAUAGCUAGCAUAAUACAAUGGUUGUUGAAGAGGAAAGAACAAAAAAUGUAUACCUGAGCAUCACAUGAUAAUCAUCAAAUUUAGAAGGCAAGAGUUCUUCCAAUAUAAGGGCUUGGCGAAGAGAUUCAACAGCUUGAGCCUCCUCAAAAUCAUGAAUAUCUACAAAAUCGACAGACAUGACCUUACUGCUCCUCCUCCUCCUUGAAAAUGAGCUCUUAAACUUGCUCGAAGCAUUCAUCGCCUUCUUCUUGAAAGUCCCCACGGCGUUCUUCUUGUCAUCAUCCAUGUUGUCCAUCUCAACCACUUCAUUUCAUAAACACAUACAUAAGAAAAGACUUGAAUUUGCAAUGCAUUCAUUCAUUCCAACCUUAAUUAGGGCUUGCAUUAUUGCUUAGUUUAAAUGGUCACCAGUUCAAUUCAAUUCAAUUCACCAAGUUCUUCA
This is a long non-coding RNA of Spinacia oleracea (spinach), 3587 nucleotides long. RefSeq lists it as uncharacterized. The transcript is spliced from 2 exons. The record is from RefSeq and is a predicted model, not a curated record. Lineage: Eukaryota; Viridiplantae; Streptophyta; Magnoliopsida; Caryophyllales; Amaranthaceae.